UACCUCCCGUGUGUCGUCGUCGCGACGUCUACGAGAGUAGUUGUACUCGUGCUAGGAUGAACGCUAGCGGCAGGCCUAAUACAUGCAAGUCGGACGGGAGUCCCCUUCGGGGGGACGAGAGUGGCGGACGGGUGCGCAACGCGUAUGCAACCCACCCCGACCCGGGGCAUAGCCGGUGGAAACGCCGGGUAAUGCGCCAUGAGCCGCGCAGGGGACAUCCCCCGCGCGGCAAAGCGAGAGCGGGACGGGACGGGCAUGCGUCCCAUUAGCUAGUAGGCGGUGCAACGGACCACCUAGGCUACGAUGGUAGGGGAUCUGAGAGGACGGUCCCCCACACUGGUACUGAGACACGGACCAGACUCCUGCGGGAGGCAGCAGUAAGGGAUAUUGGUCAAUGGGCGGAAGCCUGAACCAGCCAUGCCGCGUGAGGUAGGAAGGCCCUACGGGUCGUAAGCCUCUUUUAUGCGGGGACAAUGACGCGGUCGCGAACCGUGUUUGAGGGUACCGCAGGAAUAAGCGUCGGCUAACUCCGUGCCAGCCGCGGC
RNAcentral lists this ribosomal RNA (545 nucleotides) under uncultured bacterium. RNAcentral describes it as "bacterial SSU rRNA". It matches the Rfam family "Bacterial small subunit ribosomal RNA", at positions 1 to 518 of the family's 1533-position model. The record is from RNAcentral.